AUUGAACGCUGGCGGCAGGCCUAACACAUGCAAGUCGAACGGUAACAGGAAGCAGCUUGCUGCUUCGCUGACGAGUGGCGGACGGGUGAGUAAUGUCUGGGAAACUGCCUGAUGGAGGGGGAUAACUACUGGAAACGGUAGCUAAUACCGCAUAACGUCGCAAGACCAAAGAGGGGGACCUUAGGGCCUCUUGCCAUCGGAUGUGCCCAGAUGGGAUUAGCUAGUAGGUGGUGUAACGGCUCACCUAGGCGACGAUCCCUAGCUGGUCUGAGAGGAUGACCAGCGACACUGGAACUGAGACACGGUCCAGACUCCUACGGGAGGCAGCAGUGGGGAAUAUUGCACAAUGGGCGCAAGCCUGAUGCAGCAAUGCCGCGUGUAUGAAGAAGGCCUUCGGGUUGUAAAGUACUUUCAGCGGGGAGGAAGGGAGUAAAGUUAAUACCUUUGCUCAUUGACGUUACCCGCAGAAGAAGCACCGGCUAACUCCGUG
This 490-nucleotide ribosomal RNA is filed under the name uncultured bacterium. RNAcentral's name for it is "partial 16S ribosomal RNA". It matches the Rfam family "Bacterial small subunit ribosomal RNA", at positions 30 to 507 of the family's 1533-position model. The record is from RNAcentral.